CAGGAUUUGAUCAAUUGUCAUGACAUAUGUUCUAUAAAGUAUUAAGUACGUGAGUGUAGGGGACGUCUCGUGUGGGAUUUACUAACUGCGCAUAAAGGAGAAGAGCAACUAAAUUUAUAUCUUUUUUUUAAAAUAUUUAAAAACUUUCAAUAAAGUUUAUUCCCCCUCACUCUUGCUUCCUUGAGCCAGGGAGAUGGGGAAAAUUAUCCCUGGCGGACAGUGCUUGGCUGUUCUGGUGAAGGUGCAGACCUUGUAUAUUCUUGUUG
Non-coding RNA from Pelobates cultripes (western spadefoot toad), 266 nucleotides. The record is from the annotation of a GenBank genome assembly. Lineage: Eukaryota; Metazoa; Chordata; Amphibia; Anura; Pelobatidae.